GCUAGUGUGGUGCAGUGGUUUGAGUGUUGGACUACGAUUCUGGAGACCAGGGUUCGAUUCCCAGCUCAGCC
Non-coding RNA from Phrynosoma platyrhinos (Desert horned lizard), 71 nucleotides. NCBI's taxonomy places the organism in Eukaryota, Metazoa, Chordata, Lepidosauria, Squamata, Phrynosomatidae. The record is from the annotation of a GenBank genome assembly.